This 1193-nucleotide long non-coding RNA is filed under the name Salmo salar (Atlantic salmon). RNAcentral describes it as "lncRNA (ENSSSAG00000113108.1)". Lineage: Eukaryota; Metazoa; Chordata; Actinopteri; Salmoniformes; Salmonidae. The record is from RNAcentral.
AGAACAACAUGAUGAUUCUGCUCUGAGGGAUUCUAGAACAACAUGAUGAUUCUGCUCUGAGGGAUUCUAGAACAACAUGAUGAUUCUGCUCUGAGGGAUUCUAGAACAACAUGAUGAUUCUGCUCUGAGGGAUUCUAGAACAUGAUGAUUCUGCUCUGAGGGAUUCUAGAACAACAUGAUGAUUCUGCUCUGAGGGAUUCUAGAACAACAUGAUGAUUCUGCUCUGAGGGAUUCUAGAACAUGAUGAUUCUGCUCUGAGGGAUUCUAGAACAACAUGAUGAUUCUGCUCUGAGGGAUUCUAGAACAACAUGAUGAUUCUGCUCUGAGGGAUUCUAGAACAACAUGAUGAUUCUGCUCUGAGGGAUUCUAGAACAACAUGCUGAUUCUGCUCUGAGGGAUUCUAGAACAUGAUGAUUCUGCUCUGAGGGAUUCUAGAACAUGAUGCUGAUUCUGCUCUGAGGGAUUCUAGAACAACAGGGAAUUCUGUUUCCUUCCUGUUGAUGUACUGUCAGAUGGAAACACUCUAACCCAACAUGUAGAUUCUACUCUGUGAAUGACGAGGUUUGUGGCACAGAUCAUUAUCAUGAAAUAACAGACAACAGUUCACAGUAAACACAGACUAUCAUUGUGCACAACCCUAUACAACCCUAUUACAUAGCAUCAGCAAGGUACAUAAAACACUGACACCAUCCCUUUAAGGCCGAUAGAUAGGUCAUCCCUUUAAGACCUACACACAGUUCACCCCGUAAAAGACAGACAAUAAAGGUCAACCCUGUAAGACCGACAGACAGGUCAUCCCUUUAAGACCGACAGGCAGGUCAUCCCUUUAAGACCGACAGACAGGUCAUCCCUUUAAGACUGACGGGCAGGUCAUCCCUUUAAGACCGACAGACAGGUCAUCCCUUUAAGACCGACAGACAGGUCAUCCCUUUAAGACCGACGGGCAGGUCAUCCCUUUAUGACCGACGGGCAGGUCAUCCCUUUAAGACCGACGGGCAGGUCAUCCCUUUAAGACCGACAGACAGGUCAUCCCUUUUAAGACCUCAAAUAUACAGAUGUACUGUAUAUUUGAAAAACGAGUUAAAAAAUGAUUAUUUACAAAAAUACUUUGCUGUGUAAACUUUUCAUUUUCAUUCCAACCAAAGGUUAGAGUUAGGUACUCUCUACCCCUACCCCUCUAUCCCCCUGUCUAC